UUGGAGGGCAAGUCUGGUGCCAGCAGCCGCGGUAAUUCCAGCUCCAAUAGCGUAUAUUAAAGUUGUUGCAGUUAAAAAGCUCGUAGUCGAAUUUCGGGAUCAAUUUAUUGGUCGUGCUAUUGUACGUACUGGUAUUAUUGAUUCCUACCUUCUGACGAACCAUGAUGUCAUUAAUUUGGUGUCUUGGGGAAUCAGGACUGUUACUUUGAAAAAAUUAGAGUGUUUAAAGCAGGCUCACGCUUGAAUACAUUAGCAUGGAAUAACGAAAUAGGACGUUUGAUUCUAUUUUGUUGGUUUCUAGGAUCGACGUAAUGAUUAAUAGGGAUAGUUGGGGGCAUUAGUAUUCAAUUGUCAGAGGUGAAAUUCUUGGAUUUAUUGAAGACUAACUACUGCGAAAGCAUUUGCCAAGGAUGUUUUCAUUAAUCAAGAACGAAAGUUAGGGGAUCGAAGACGAUCAGAUACCGUCGUAGUCUUAACCAUAAACUAUGCCGACUAGGGAUCGGAUGAUGUUAAUUUUUUAAUGACUCAUUCGGCGCCUUACGGGAAAC
RNAcentral lists this ribosomal RNA (548 nucleotides) under uncultured Glomus. RNAcentral's name for it is "SSU rRNA". It matches the Rfam family "Eukaryotic small subunit ribosomal RNA", at positions 548 to 1098 of the family's 1831-position model. Lineage: Eukaryota; Fungi; Glomeromycota; Glomeromycetes; Glomerales; Glomeraceae. The record is from RNAcentral.